RNAcentral lists this ribosomal RNA (446 nucleotides) under uncultured bacterium. Its description in RNAcentral is "partial 16S ribosomal RNA". It matches the Rfam family "Bacterial small subunit ribosomal RNA", at positions 338 to 795 of the family's 1533-position model. The record is from RNAcentral.
CCUACGGGUGGCAGCAGUCGAGAAUCAUUCACAAUGGGGGAAACCCUGAUGGUGCGACGCCGCGUGGGGGAAUGAAGGUCUUCGGAUUGUAAACCCCUGUCAUGUGGGAGCAAAUUAAAAAGAUAGUACCCCAAGAGGAAGAGACGGCUAACUCUGUGCCAGCAGCCGCGGUAAUACAGAGGUCUCAAGCGUUGUUCGGAAUCACUGGGCGUAAAGCGUGCGUAGGCUGUUUCGUAAGUCGUGUGUGAAAGGCGCGGGCUCAACCCGCGGACGGCACAUGAUACUGCGAGACUAGAGUAAUGGAGGGGGAACCGGAAUUCUCGGUGUAGCAGUGAAAUGCGUAGAUAUCGAGAGGAACACUCGUGGCGAAGGCGGGUUCCUGGACAUUAACUGACGCUGAGGCACGAAGGCCAGGGGAGCGAAAGGGAUUAGAUACCCGUGUAGUC